This 30-nucleotide non-coding RNA is filed under the name Mus musculus (house mouse). Lineage: Eukaryota; Metazoa; Chordata; Mammalia; Rodentia; Muridae. The record is from RNAcentral.
UACUUCUUGAUCCACAGAGUGGGAAGGAGA